UACGUAGGUCCCGAGCGUUGUCCGGGUUUAUUGGGCGUAAAGCGAGCGCAGGUGGUUUAUUAAGUCUGGUGUAAAAGGCAGUGGCUCAACCAUUGUAUGCAUUGGAGACUGGUAGACCUGAGUGCAGGAGAGGAGAGUGGAAUUCCAUGUGUAGCGGUGAAAUGCGUAGAUAUAUGGAGGAACACCGGUGGCGAAAGCGGCUCUCUGGCCUGUAACUGACACUGAGGCUCGAAAGCGUGGGGAGCAAACAGG
Molecule: ribosomal RNA, 252 nt
Filed under: uncultured bacterium
Lineage: Bacteria
Description: partial 16S ribosomal RNA
Rfam family: Bacterial small subunit ribosomal RNA
Source: RNAcentral